Molecule: ribosomal RNA, 1364 nt
Filed under: uncultured bacterium
Lineage: Bacteria
Description: bacterial SSU rRNA
Rfam family: Bacterial small subunit ribosomal RNA
Source: RNAcentral
AUUGAACGCUGGCGGCAGGCCUAACACAUGCAAGUCGAACGGUAACAGGAAACAGCUUGCUGUUUCGCUGACGAGUGGCGGACGGGUGAGUAAUGUCUGGGAAACUGCCUGAUGGAGGGGGAUAACUACUGGAAACGGUAGCUAAUACCGCAUAACGUCGCAAGACCAAAGAGGGGGACCUUCGGGCCUCUUGCCAUCGGAUGUGCCCAGAUGGGAUUAGCUUGUUGGUGGGGUAACGGCUCACCAAGGCGACGAUCCCUAGCUGGUCUGAGAGGAUGACCAGCCACACUGGAACUGAGACACGGUCCAGACUCCUACGGGAGGCAGCAGUGGGGAAUAUUGCACAAUGGGCGCAAGCCUGAUGCAGCCAUGCCGCGUGUAUGAAGAAGGCCUUCGGGUUGUAAAGUACUUUCAGCGGGGAGGAAGGGAGUAAAGUUAAUACCUUUGCUCAUUGACGUUACCCGCAGAAGAAGCACCGGCUAACUCCGUGCCAGCAGCCGCGGUAAUACGGAGGGUGCAAGCGUUAAUCGGAAUUACUGGGCGUAAAGCGCACGCAGGCGGUUUGUUAAGUCAGAUGUGAAAUCCCCGGGCUCAACCUGGGAACUGCAUCUGAUACUGGCAAGCUUGAGUCUCGUAGAGGGGGGUAGAAUUCCAGGUGUAGCGGUGAAAUGCGUAGAGAUCUGGAGGAAUACCGGUGGCGAAGGCGGCCCCCUGGACGAAGACUGACGCUCAGGUGCGAAAGCGCGGGGAGCAAACAGGAUUAGAUACCCUGGUAGUCCACGCCGUAAACGAUGUCGACUUGGAGGUUGUGCCCUUGAGGCGUGGCUUCCGGAGCUAACGCGUUAAGUCGACCGCCUGGGGGAGUACGGCCGCAAGGUUAAAACUCAAAUGAAUUGACGGGGGCCCGCACAAGCGGUGGAGCAUGUGGUUUAAUUCGAUGCAACGCGAAGAACCUUACCUGGUCUUGACAUCCACAGAACUUUCCAGAGAUGGAUUGGUGCCUUCGGGAACUGUGAGACAGGUGCUGCAUGGCUGUCGUCAGCUCGUGUUGUGAAAUGUUGGGUUAAGUCCCGCAACGAGCGCAACCCUUAUCCUUUGUUGCCAGCGGUCCGGCCGGGAACUCAAAGGAGACUGCCAGUGAUAAACUGGAGGAAGGUGGGGAUGACGUCAAGUCAUCAUGGCCCUUACGACCAGGGCUACACACGUGCUACAAUGGCGCAUACAAAGAGAAGCGACCUCGCGAGAGCAAGCGGACCUCAUAAAGUGCGUCGUAGUCCGGAUUGGAGUCUGCAACUCGACUCCAUGAAGUCGGAAUCGCUAGUAAUCGUGGAUCAGAAUGCCACGGUGAAUACGUUCCCGGGCCU